AUACAAAUAGCGACUGAUAUGGACUUCGGUCAUCAUUCUCCUCAUCGUAAAAUUUCUGCUGAGGGUUAACAUAGCCAGAGGCACCAUCAAAUCCAGUCGUUACCGACAACUCUAUGCUAUUCAUAGCAGUUUUGGGCCAAUCUGAUGUAACAGCUACGCAUAAUCUUUCGGCAGUCUUUUCUAGCAUCUGUUUUUCAGUGAAUUUUCUGGGUUUUAGCCAUUCACCCCUUAUUUCAACCCUGAAUUUAGGGGUUGAUGGUAUUCUAAUAAGCCUUUUCUUAAUGUACAUUUCAUUUACUACUAUUUAAAACAAAAAUUGUAUCGAUAUCGUGAUUCGCCUCUGAGAUACAGCAAAAA
This is a long non-coding RNA of Rhagoletis zephyria (snowberry fruit fly), 357 nucleotides long. RefSeq lists it as uncharacterized. The record is from RefSeq and is a predicted model, not a curated record. NCBI's taxonomy places the organism in Eukaryota, Metazoa, Arthropoda, Insecta, Diptera, Tephritidae.